Carcharodon carcharias (great white shark) is the source of this 1901-nucleotide long non-coding RNA. RefSeq lists it as uncharacterized. The transcript has 2 exons. NCBI's taxonomy places the organism in Eukaryota, Metazoa, Chordata, Chondrichthyes, Lamniformes, Lamnidae. The record is from RefSeq and is a predicted model, not a curated record.
GGAACUGCCUGCUGUACUCAGCAUUCUCCAGCACCCACUGCGGCCAAAGCAAUGGCUAUCACCAACAGGUUGUGAUGGAUUCUCCUGUGGCCCGAACUCUUGAAUUGAAUUUAAAACGUUAUCAUGGAUGGCUUCGGCUGGAAUUGUGUUUGCACUAGGCCCACUAAUUCGCUACGUAACUUGAAAUUGGGCGCGUUUGGGACAGUAAGGUUGUGAAUCAAAUUAUAUGUUUUACUGCCACAUACACUUAAGAGGACUGCUUUCCGCUUUUCUUCAGCAGUUAUCUCGUUUGCUGCGAUUGGCUCCAAUCGUCCAUAUUCACAUUAUAUGGAUCGAUUCUUCCAAACAGCAGCAUGGUUGGUGAGUGUUUUUUUUUAAAGUCAAUUUACUCACAGUAAACAGGGCAGAGUCGAAGUUGAUUUCGUCCUCAUCGCCAAAUGUGAUGACUCAAUGGAGCAGACAGGUUUAGUCAAGAAACAAUUAAACCUUAUUACAGACAUUUGCAGUCCUUGCACGCUCGACCAGAUCGUACGUUGCAAAAUGCUCCGCCCCCUGGAUUGCCCACGCUAAGAGCUUACUGGCUGCAGUCCCAAUGCAUCAUGUGAUGUACUAUCACAUGACCUGUGAUUGACAGAGGCAGUGAUUGUACAUCCAGUACAAACAUACAGCCAUGAUCGUAUUGAAUGGCAGAACAGGCUCGAUGGGCCAUGUGGUUGACUCCUGCUCCUGUUUCUUAUGUCCUUAAAGAGAAAGACUUGCACUUAUAUAGCACUUAUCAUGUCCUCAGACUGCUCCAAAGUGCUUUGUAAUUUUACUUUGAUCUGCAGUUACUGUUGUGUUGCAGGCAAAUUUAGCAGCUAAAAUGCAAACAGCAAGGAUCCACAAAUAGCAAUGGGAUGAAUGACUGAUUAAUCUGUUUAAUUUAUGGUUUUUAAUAGUUAAACAUUGGCCAGAUACCAGGAGAGCUCCCUGUUCCUCUAUUUCAAAGUGCCUUGGGAUCUUUUACACCCAUCUGAACAGGCAAAUGGGACAUCAGUUUAACAUUUCAUCCAAAAUAUAGCACCUCCACAAAAAUUGUGACUAAUCAGCACUGGAGUGUUUCUGGAUUAACACCUUUGUGCAACUUUAAAUUAUGGUAAUCAGCAAUUAGGAGCAAAAUUGUGAGCUAAAUCCAGACUUGCAAACAGGCUCGCCUUAUUAGCACUGCACCCUUUGGCCAAAAUAAACCCCUUUGGGGGAGAAAUAUGCUUGUGUACUAAAGCUUCAAGUAGCGCUAUGCAGAUUUGUUCCCCUAAGGUAGGCAGCAUAAAGUGGUGCUUGCUAACUCAAACGAUCAUUGAUUCAAGCUGGCACCAAUGACCUGUGCUAAAAUUUAAAAUAUUUGUUCUUUCUUGCACAAACUGCAGGUUCGAUUUUGGAGGAAAGGUACAAGAUUUUCUCAGCAUUUGUUAGGUUUAUUUAUGCUGUCCCAUCAAAUUAAUGGAGAGCUCGCUAAUAUGACGUCCCAAUAAAUUACUUUACACAGGCAAAGAAUAAUGAAGACAACAAUUUAAAACACUUCUUCACCCUUAUCUUGGUGCUUCGGCAUUUCAGCAAAAAAAAUUUUCAACUUGUUUACCACAAUUAUUAAUAUAUUUACACAAGCACAAUUGUGCAAAAAAAACGUACAAAGACGUUAACUAUUUUUUACCUCAUACUUCUCUCAUCAUUGAAGAUUUACCUUGCUUGACAAUAGGGGGCUGGGGAGGAGGAGGAAUACAGGAGUAGGCCAUUCAAACAACCGAGCCCAUUACACAUUCAAUUAGAUCAUGGCUGAUCUGUAUGUUAACAGCAUUUAUCUGUUUUGAUUCCAUAACUCUUAAUACCCUACCCUUGAAAUAAAACUAUCAAUUUUGAAAUUA